GAUGAACGCUGGCGGCGUGCCUAAUACAUGCAAGUCGAGCGAACGGACGAGAAGCUUGCUUCUCUGAUGUUAGCGGCGGACGGGUGAGUAACACGUGGAUAACCUACCUAUAAGACUGGGAUAACUUCGGGAAACCGGAGCUAAUACCGGAUAAUAUUUUGAACCGCAUGGUUCAAAAGUGAAAGACGGUCUUGCUGUCACUUAUAGAUGGAUCCGCGCUGCAUUAGCUAGUUGGUAAGGUAACGGCUUACCAAGGCAACGAUGCAUAGCCGACCUGAGAGGUGAUCGGGCCCACCGGAACUUGGAACCGGGUCCGAAUCCCUAGGGAGGCAGGCGUAGGGAAUUUUUCGGCAUGGGCGGAAGCCCUACCGAGGCACGCCGGCGGAGUGAAUAAGGUUUUCGGAUUCUUAAACCUUUUUAAUAGGGAAGAACAUAUGGUUAAGUAACUGUGCACAUCUUGACGGUACCUAAUCAGAAAGCCACGGCUAACUACGUG
Molecule: ribosomal RNA, 496 nt
Filed under: uncultured bacterium
Lineage: Bacteria
Description: partial 16S ribosomal RNA
Rfam family: Bacterial small subunit ribosomal RNA
Source: RNAcentral